UAUUGCAUCUCUUAGGGUUAAUUAACUGUGUGAAUUGACAAGGAAGGUCUUUAGCGGUCUGAUGGGGCAAAAAUCAGCGGCAGCGGAAAAGUCCGUCCCGACCUCACUGUGAGGGGACUUGAUAAUGCCUAAUUGAUGGUUAUGAGUCAUUUGAGUCUGUUGUAAAUGCAUCAAACCCUCUGGUUGAUAAGGUACAAGUGGCCAAGGAAGAAAAUAGUAUUGAUGAUGGUGAAGACAAUGAUGAUUUGGAUUGGUUGGAGUCGCCUUCUAAGGUGCCUCUUAACAAGGGGAAGCGAUGCGAGCGUGAUUAUAAAGGAGUUGAGGUAUAAUAAUUAAGUUAGAUUUGUUGACUUAUGUGAUGUAUGUCUGUAUAUGUGAGUAUAAACAUAUUUUACUUUUGAUUUUCAAUGCUGUUCAUUAUUAA
This is a long non-coding RNA of Helianthus annuus (common sunflower), 424 nucleotides long. RefSeq lists it as uncharacterized. The record is from RefSeq and is a predicted model, not a curated record. Lineage: Eukaryota; Viridiplantae; Streptophyta; Magnoliopsida; Asterales; Asteraceae. The transcript is spliced from 3 exons.